This 484-nucleotide ribosomal RNA is filed under the name uncultured bacterium. RNAcentral's name for it is "partial 16S ribosomal RNA". It matches the Rfam family "Bacterial small subunit ribosomal RNA", at positions 30 to 507 of the family's 1533-position model. The record is from RNAcentral.
AUUGAACGCUGGCGGCAGGCCUAACACAUGCCAGUCGAGCGGAUGAAGGGAGCUUGCUCCUGGAUUCAGCGGCGGACGGGUGAGUAAUGCCUAGGAAUCUGCCUGGUAGUGGGGGAUAACGUCCGGAAACGGGCGCUAAUACCGCAUACGUCCUGAGGGAGAAAGUGGGGGAUCUUCGGACCUCACGCUAUCAGAUGAGCCUAGGUCGGAUUAGCUAGUUGGUGGGGUAAAGGCCUACCAAGGCGACGAUCCGUAACUGGUCUGAGAGGAUGAUCAGUCACACUGGAACGGAGACACGGUCCAGACUCCUACGGGAGGCAGCAGUGGGGAAUAUUGGACAAUGGGCGAAAGCCUGAUCCAGCCAUGCCGCGUGUGUGAAGAAGGUCUUCGGAUUGUAAAGCACUUUAAGUUGGGAGGAAGGGCAGUAAGUUAAUACCUUGCUGUUUUGACGUUACCAACAGAAUAAGCACCGGCUAACUUCGUG